GUUGCCGCAAAAUCGGCAACCGGGCGUGGAAACCCGUGUAACUCGUUGGCGACACCAGACGCGCCUUGCGUCUUUUUU
Brenneria sp. EniD312 is the source of this 78-nucleotide non-coding RNA. The record is from Rfam. NCBI's taxonomy places the organism in Bacteria, Pseudomonadati, Pseudomonadota, Gammaproteobacteria, Enterobacterales, Pectobacteriaceae.